This 390-nucleotide ribosomal RNA is filed under the name uncultured bacterium. RNAcentral describes it as "bacterial SSU rRNA". It matches the Rfam family "Bacterial small subunit ribosomal RNA", at positions 28 to 417 of the family's 1533-position model. The record is from RNAcentral.
GACGAACGCUGGCGGCGUGCUUAACACAUGCAAGUCGAGCGGUAAGGCCCUUUCGGGGGUACGACGAGCGGCGAACGGGUGAGUAACACGUGGGUGACCUGCCCUCAGCUCUGGGAUAAGCCUGGGAAACUGGGUCUAAUACUGGAUAUGACUCCACGGUGCAUGUCGUGGGGUGGAAAGCCUUGUGCGGCUGAGGAUGGGCCCGCGGCCUAUCAGCUUGUUGGUGGGGUGANGGCCUACCAAGGCGACGACGGGUAGCCGGCCUGAGAGGGCGACCGGCCACACUGGGACUGAGACACGGCCCAGACUCCUACGGGAGGGCAGCAGUGGGGAAUCUUGCGCAAUGGGCGAAAGCCUGACGCAGCGACGCCGCGUGAGGGAUGACGGCCU